This 329-nucleotide unclassified non-coding RNA is filed under the name soil metagenome. Its description in RNAcentral is "partial contains 5.8S ribosomal RNA, internal transcribed spacer 2, and large subunit ribosomal RNA". The stretch from base 1 to 120 matches the Rfam family "5.8S ribosomal RNA", at positions 35 to 154 of the family's 154-position model. The record is from RNAcentral.
GAUGAAGAACGUAGCGAAAUGCGAUAAGUAAUGUGAAUUGCAGAAUUCAGUGAAUCAUCGAAUCUUUGAACGCACAUUGCGCCCCUUGGUAUUCCGAGGGGCAUGUCUGUUCGAGCGUCAUUAUAACCCCUCAAGCUCAGCUUGGUGUUGGGGCCUGCUGCACUGGCAGCCCUUAAAAUCAGUGGCGGCGCCAUCUGGCUCUAAGCGUAGUAAUUCUUCUCGCUAUGGAGUCCUGGUGGAUGCUUGCCAUCAACCCCCAAUUUUUCUAUGGUUGACCUCGGAUCAGGUAGGGAUACCCGCUGAACUUAAGCAUAUCAAUAAGCGGAGGA